ACGCUCGAAGCUCGUCCCCAACUCUUCCUCACCCUCUCCAACACCAGCGCCGCCCCCUCCCCCGUGCGCCGCCCUUCCCUCGUGCGCCGUCCGUCUCACCGGAGACGCCAUCGCCCCUGUCCACAUUGGCCCCCUCGCUUCCCAUUGCCGAUUCGAUAAGGUGAGGCCUCAAACGGACUCCCCACGACCUCCUCUACCCUGUCCUGCCGUCUCCCCUCACCGCCGGCGAGCCUAGGCAGCCGCCCCUAGGCCGGCCACCCCUUCACCCAACUCCCUGUAUCGUACGGUACAGAGGAAGAAGAAAGACACCCCUUUUCGAUCUAACCCCCACCUUUCCCAUAUUCACCAACCAGUCCUCCCACCACUCUCAAGAAAUUCCCGCGGAUAUGCCCCUCCACCACCCAGAAAUCUUCAUAAAUAGGCCCCUGGUUCUUAUGGUUGGGUCCAAAGCCUUAUUUUAACCCCUAAAUACACGGUUAUCUCGUCAUUUCAUGCGCCAAACUUCCUCCAAUUAAUCUCAAAUUUGACCACGUCAUCCUCCAAUAUACUUCCGCUAAGCCAUAUCUAAAUUUCAUGAAAAUACUCAUUCCUUCAAUUUUUCGUUCGCGUUCUCUGUUCGAAGCUCAACAGGUAAAAUCUUAUUUUCUUUUAUUUAUUGUGUGCCCGAUUGUGUGUGUCGUAGAUCGCGGAGUACCCGAGGAGGAGCACGAGGAGGAGUUUGACUGCAAGCCUGAGCCGGAGGACCAACACCGCGAGCAAGAACUCCCGGCCAACUACG
RNAcentral lists this long non-coding RNA (778 nucleotides) under Setaria italica (foxtail millet). RNAcentral's name for it is "long non-coding RNA (SITA_LNC001110)". The record is from RNAcentral. Lineage: Eukaryota; Viridiplantae; Streptophyta; Magnoliopsida; Poales; Poaceae.